AACCAUUUUUUUUUCUUGUUUGAUAUUUUCGUGCCACUGCGAGCCCUUCUUCUCCGGCGAAGAGCGACGUCGGAAUUUUACAAAGAUCACUGGCCUAGAUUCCGACAAACACAAAGACCCAUCUAUCCCAAUUUGUUACGGCCAUUGGACAACAAUCCAUUUCUCUUCGAAGAAGACCCACCUUAUUGUUUUCGAAAGAAGCAUCGUGCUAAAGUGACUAUUCUUCAUCCAUUUACCAAAAACUCAGAACAAAUCAAGACGCUGAUAUCUUAAUUGCAGCUGCAGAAGUACUCAAUUUGGUCCGUGAUAGUUGGUUAAAGCCAGACACAAUUGUUGUAAUAUUUA
Long non-coding RNA from Andrographis paniculata, 345 nucleotides. RefSeq lists it as uncharacterized. The transcript is spliced from 3 exons. Lineage: Eukaryota; Viridiplantae; Streptophyta; Magnoliopsida; Lamiales; Acanthaceae. The record is from RefSeq and is a predicted model, not a curated record.